UACGUAGGUGGCUAGCGUUGUCCGAAUUUACUGGGCGUAAAGAGCGCGCAGGCGGUCGUUCAAGUCGAGUGUGAAAGCCCCCGGCUCAACUGGGGAGGGUCACUCGAUACUGAUCGACUUGAAGGCGGGAGAGGGAAGCGGAAUUCCCGGUGUAGUGGUGAAAUGCGUAGAUAUCGUCCAGAACACCGAUAGCGAAGGCAGCUUACUAAGGAGUAACUGACGCUGAGGCACGAAAGUGUGGGGAUCAAACAGG
Molecule: ribosomal RNA, 253 nt
Filed under: uncultured bacterium
Lineage: Bacteria
Description: partial 16S ribosomal RNA
Rfam family: Bacterial small subunit ribosomal RNA
Source: RNAcentral